GAUUUGGAAUUGAGGACAAUGUAGUCUGAUAGCCAAGGGGUAUAAACUUAUCUUCUUGGGCUGUGUUCCAAAAUUUAUUUUAACUGAUGUGCGCACAGUUCUGUGAAUACAUUACAAGCCAUCUAAUUGUACAUUUAUUUAUGUUACACUUUAAAUUGGUGAAUCAUAUGGUAAAAAGUUUAAAAUAUAAUAAACCAGUAAAAACAUUUACUGGAAACUACUAUUAUAAUAACAUAGAAAUCUAUAAGCUAAUUUUCUAAAUUAACAAAUGGUUUAAAUGAAUGGAAUUAAAAUCCCAGUGGAAAUAUGAGUGAGUAAAUAGCUCAUGGUGAAAAGAUCAGGUAUCUUUGUUAGUUAUUAAGGCUGUCCAUCCAUAUUUCCAGCUAUUCAAAUUUCAGACACUUAGACUUCUACUUCUUCACACCAUUUAUCUAUUUAUUUAUUCAUUCAUUCAUUCAUUUUAUAUUCUUAUUCAGACAGAGGGGUUUCGUUUCAGUUCAACAUGCCAGUUUGUAAAUGUGAUGCAUCUUGACCAAUGCCAUUUCUUUCAUCAUUCUUCCCCAUAUCUCCCAACUGUACUUAUUCCCUCAACUUACCUAGUUUCCUUUUCACAUUAUAUUAUGAUUGCAUUUUCCCAUCUAUCGCCUCUCCAGUUGACCACUCCCUCCCCUUACUUCACCCAUCCUGAUAGCUCAAGUUCCAGCUUCCUGAUAAUUCAUUUUGCUAAACUGUAUGUUGUUCAAAGGGGCUACUCCUCACACCUUUUAUAUACAUCUAUGUCCAUAUAACUUGCUUCAGUCAAUGGAAUGGAGUAGAGAUAUUUUUGCCAGUUCUAGGAGUGAAAUUUUAAAUGUAAAUAUGAGCUUUGUCAGGACCUGUCACAAGCAAUAUUCUAGAAAGGGACUUCCACCAUUUUAAUAUUUGUGAACAUAGACCCCCAAAGGAUUAUGUGUUGAUAUGAAGUAUGGAUAAAAUAUAUUGUGUAAUUUUAAGUUACAUGAUUUUGAAAUCAUGACUGCAAUGUAAUGUAUCAUAUCUUGACUGACAAUCUCACUCAAAGUUGUAAAAAAUAAAAUUAUAAUAUUGUAAUUUUAUAUUUCAUAUUGACAAAAAUCUAAGUUGUGCAAUUUCCAGUGUUGACAAGAUGUUUUUGAAAGAGACACUUUUGGUUUUUGAGCUGUUGUAUUCUUUUUAAAUUGAAUAGCAUUGUUUAUAUUUAUAGUGUACAACAUGAUGUUGAUUAUAUGUACACACAUACAUACACACUGUGGAAUGUGCAAAUCCAUCUAACAUAUUUCUAUCUCAAUUAGCAAAUCCUCUGUACACAAAUUUAUUUUAUAGCUAUUUUCGCCAUUAUAAAUAUUUCUGUGAACAUUGCUGUAAGAAAUUUCUGGAACUAAAUGGUACUUUUCACUUGUGUAGUUUUGUGUCAGACUACUUGGAGCUUCUGUCCUGUUUCGUUGUGUUGAAUUCUAGAAUAGUGAGAACAGAUCUAGAAAAAUAUGUUGAUUGUGUAGAUACUGAUUUUUGCAGCUAUUUGGGUCAGUUCUCUUGUUUCCAUUUCCAUUUACACAUUCUGUGUAUUUUUUCUGUGGUGUUUUCUUCUGUAAGCCAGCCCACAGAUGGAAUAAUAGCAGGAUUAAUAUUCCUGUAGCUAAGUUGAUUUGUACAUCUUUAGCUAUUUAUGCAGGGAAAAUGUUCAGGAUUCCUGGUUCAAACAAUCUCCCUUAUAUAACUUUUAGUCUUAAAAAAUUACAACUACUACUUAUCACUAUAUUUAUGGAGGCACAGUAACACCUAGUGAUCAAUUCCAGUACUUCAACAUGGAAAAAAAUUGUUAAAGAAAACAUGAGAAUUGGGGAAAUAGCUGUCAAGGCAUCUCCAAACAACACUGAUAAAAAUUCAGGAAUUUUAGUUGCAUCUGCAAUAUGUAAAGAACAAGGAAGCCAUCACUCUCAAACCUACACUAAGAACAAACUGAACAAAUGAAAACAAAUGACUUUUCCUUGAGUUCCUUAGGUAACAAAGGUUAUAGGAUAAAUCACUACUAAAAAAAUCUGGAAAAAUGCUUAAAUUUAGAGUUAAAAGUUGUGAUCUGCUUCUCUGGAACACAGUCACUAUAACCAUGCAUUGAUAGGGACACCUAAAUGAUAAUUUUGAUCAAUUGUUUGAAUCUGAAUGUGAACAACAGGACACUGAGAACUUCUGAGAAUCAGUCUUAAAAGGUUUUUUGAUCUAUAGGAAACUCACUCUGGUCUCAUGAUGAAGAGCUAUAAAGUAUCUGUGUGGAUCUGGCA
Molecule: long non-coding RNA, 2297 nt
Organism: Perognathus longimembris pacificus (Pacific pocket mouse)
Lineage: Eukaryota; Metazoa; Chordata; Mammalia; Rodentia; Heteromyidae
Exons: 2
Source: RefSeq, a predicted model, not a curated record